CGAGCAAGGCCGCGUGAACGAUGAAGUAUUUCGGUAUGUAAAGUUCUUUUAUUGAAGAAGAAAAAAUAGUGGAAAAACUAUCUUGACGAUAUUCAAUGAAUAAGCCCCGGCAAACUAUGUGCCAGCAGCCGCGGUAAUACAUAGGGGGCGAGCGUUAUCCGGAAUUAUUGGGCGUAAAGGGUGCGUAGGCGGUUUGGUAAGUCUAUAGUUUAAUUUCAGUGCUUAACACUGUUCUGCUAUAGAAACUAUCAGACUAGAGUGAGAUAGAGGCAAGUGGAAUUCCAUGUGUAGCGGUAAAAUGCGUAAAUAUAUGGAGGAACACCAGAGGCGUAGGCGGCUUGCUGGGUCUUUACUGACGCUGAGGCACGAAAGCGUGGGGAGCAAACAGGAUUAGAUACCCUGGUAGUCCACGCCGUAAACGAUGAGUACUAAGUGUCGGGGAAACUCGGUACUGAAGUUAACACAUUAAGUACUCCGCCUGAGUAGUACGUACGCAAGUAUGAAACUUAAAGGAAUUGACGGGACUCCGCACAAGCGGUGGAUCAUGUUGUUUAAUUCGAAGAUACACGAAAAACCUUACCAGGUCUUGACAUACUCUGCAAAGCUAUAGCAAUAUAGUGGAGGUUAUCAGGGAUACAGGUGGUGCAUGGUUGUCGUCAGCUCGUGUCGUGAGAUGUUAGGUUAAGUCCUAAAACGAGCGCAACCCUUGUCACUAGUUGCCAGCAUGUUAUGAUGGGCACUUUAACGAGACUGAAAA
This 757-nucleotide ribosomal RNA is filed under the name Candidatus Phytoplasma cynodontis. RNAcentral's name for it is "bacterial SSU rRNA". It matches the Rfam family "Bacterial small subunit ribosomal RNA", at positions 388 to 1155 of the family's 1533-position model. The record is from RNAcentral. Lineage: Bacteria; Bacillati; Mycoplasmatota; Mollicutes; Acholeplasmatales; Acholeplasmataceae.